This 433-nucleotide ribosomal RNA is filed under the name uncultured bacterium. RNAcentral describes it as "partial 16S ribosomal RNA". It matches the Rfam family "Bacterial small subunit ribosomal RNA", at positions 29 to 507 of the family's 1533-position model. The record is from RNAcentral.
AGCGAACGCUGGCGGCAGGCCUAACACAUGCAAGUCGAACGGACCCUUCGGGGUUAGUGGCGGACGGGUGAGUAACACGUGGGAACGGUCCUUUAUGUUCGGAAUAGUACCUGUAAACGGGGGGUAAUGCCGGAUGAGCCCUGCGGGUACAAGAUUUAUCGUAUUUAGGGCGGCGCGCGUCCGACUGACUAGUUGGUGAGGUAACAGCUCACCAAGGCGACGCUCAGUAGCUGGGCUCAGAGGCUGACCAGCCACACUGGGAAUGAGACACGGCCCAGAAUCCUACGGGAGGCAGCAGUGGGGAAUCCUGCGCAAUGGGCGAAAGCCAGACGGAGCUAUGCUGCGUGAAUGAUUAAGGUCUGAGGAUUGUACAAUUCUUUCAUCGGGGACGAUAAUGACGGUACCCGGAGAAGAAGCCCCGGCUAACUUCGUG